Stegodyphus mimosarum is the source of this 73-nucleotide non-coding RNA. The record is from Rfam. Lineage: Eukaryota; Metazoa; Arthropoda; Arachnida; Araneae; Eresidae.
GCCUUCGUGGUAUAGUGGUCAGCACGCUCGACGCGUAACCGAGAGGUCCGUGGUUCGAUUCCAGGCGAAGGUG